AGUGAACGCUGGCGGUAGGCCUAACACAUGCAAGUCGAACGGCAGCACAGUAAGAGCGUGCCCUUACGGGUGGCGAGUGACGGGCGGGUGAGGAGUACAUCGGAAUCUACUUUUUCGGGGGGGAUAACGGAGGGAAACUUACGCUAAUACCGGAUACUAUCUACGGGUGAAAUCAGGGGAGCUUGGGACUUUGGCCGUUUCAAUUAGCCGAUGUCGGAUUAGCUAGUUGGCUAGGUAAAGGCCCACCAAGGCGACGAUCCGUAGCUGGUCUGAGAGGAUGAUCAGCCACACUGGAACUGAGACACGGUCCAGACUCCUACGGGAGGCAGCAGUGGGGAAUAUUGGACAAUGGGCGCAAGCCUGAUCCAGCCAUGCCGCGUGAGUGAAGAAGGUCUUCGGGUCGUAAAGCUCUUUUAUUGGGGAAGAAAAGCUGUAUAUUAAUCCCCCGCUGUUCUGACGGUACCCAAAGAGUAAGCAACGGCUAACUUCGUG
Molecule: ribosomal RNA, 492 nt
Filed under: uncultured bacterium
Lineage: Bacteria
Description: partial 16S ribosomal RNA
Rfam family: Bacterial small subunit ribosomal RNA
Source: RNAcentral